GCCCGGUUAGCUCAAUCGGUAGAGCGUGAGACUUUUAACGUUUCUGUGUUUCUUCACGAGUGCGGAAAAAGUCAAUCUCAAGGUUGCGGGUUCGACCCCCGCAUCGGGCU
Non-coding RNA from Serendipita sp. 411, 110 nucleotides. The record is from the annotation of a GenBank genome assembly. NCBI's taxonomy places the organism in Eukaryota, Fungi, Basidiomycota, Agaricomycetes, Sebacinales, Serendipitaceae.